RNAcentral lists this long non-coding RNA (1226 nucleotides) under Gallus gallus (chicken). RNAcentral describes it as "lncRNA (ENSGALG00010014433.1)". Lineage: Eukaryota; Metazoa; Chordata; Aves; Galliformes; Phasianidae. The record is from RNAcentral.
AGGCUUCAAAGCAGGUGGAUGGAAAGCGUUACGGAGUAAGUAGGCAAAGCCCUUCCUUUAUGUGCAGCCACUUCUGUCUGCUUUCCACUAGAGGUAGCUGGAACCACACACAACAGUGCCACAUCCCAGCCCCAAAGCAGCGUCGGUACCAGCGCUCAGCCUGCCAUGGAAGGGUGUAUCCAAAGCAGAAGGAAGCUCCAUGCAGCCCCCUCCUUGUGGUCCAUCCUCCUGCGAGCUGAUUGUCUUCUGGCCACCAACUAUCAGUCCUGUAAGGUCUGGCCAAUGCCAGCAGCCACCUCGGUGAGUUGGGCAGGAGGGGGGCAAGGGGUUAAGCAAAAUGAGCUUUCUUAUGGCACCUACUCAUGGCCACCUGCUUGUGACACCUUCCUAAGCUCCAUUCCUCUGCAGGGCUCAGCCUUGAGCCAACACUCAGAUGCUCUCCAAAAGGAGCUGUGGAUUUCCCCAGCUGCUCUCCACGGAGUGGGCAGCGUUGGAGGGCAGUGGAGCUCUCUCCCUUCCCAAUGGGAUGCCAGGGAGAUUUGACAGAUGAAGACUGUUAAUAUUGAAGAUAUCAUUACGCUGGCCACAGCCGCAAUUCCUUCUGCAGCAAUGGGGCAUCAAUAUUAAGGUGAGUUACUAAAUGUAUCCUAAAGGUGAGCUGAAAGGCGUUUUGGAGGCUCCCAUCCCAGGUUCGGAAUGGUUUUGAGAGGUGGCUGCAGGCAGUGGGGCUGGAAAGCUGGUUUGGGUAAGUGGGGUGAAGCUGGGGAUCUGGGCGCUCCCAGUGGGAACGUUGAGUUUUCUUUUUUGGGUGGAGGAAAGGAAAUAAUUUCUCUCUAUCAAAAAUGAAUGAAAACUUGAGAAAUCUCAAGCAGGUUUAUUUAUUACCUCAUCUAUUAAAAUAGCCACGUAUCUAUUCAAGUGUGGGGGCUGCCAUUUAUUUUGCCUUUUCCGUGAGUCACAGAGCAUCUUAAUUUAUUUCUUUUUUUUUUUUUCCCCCCAUGGAAAUAAUAUUACUGAGUUUCUCCCAAGGGGAAGCCAUGCUGGAGGGCACAGCCUUCCAUGGGGCAGUCAGUUAGGGCUGGUCCAAGGACACCAGCAGACCCUGCAUUGAACCUCUCUACUAGAACCAUGUUCUCAUAUAUUGCCCCAUGGACACCAUUCUCCACCUUUCCCCUGCUUGGCUGCACAGAUUUGGGUGUUUGUGCCUGAAUUUCUCUAUUUUUUUU